Non-coding RNA from Danio rerio (zebrafish), 506 nucleotides. Lineage: Eukaryota; Metazoa; Chordata; Actinopteri; Cypriniformes; Danionidae. The record is from RefSeq and is a predicted model, not a curated record.
UUAACCUAAGUGCCGUGUUGCUGAUGAACAUCUUUAUAUGCAAAACCGGAGCACCCAGAGAAAACCCACCAAACGCAGAGAGAAUUUGCAAACUACACACAGAAAUGCCUGCUGAUCCAGCUGCGGCUCGAGUCAGCAUCCUUGCUUAUUGGAUGCCUGAUUGCAGUUCAACUCCCAAACUCANGUUGGACCAGCUGAUCAGUGUCUUCAGUAUUACCACAAGCUACUGGGCAGAUGUGUGGACAGCUAUGAGCCAAACUUGGGACGUUUGGUUUUUAGGUAAUACCAGUGACAAAGUAUUCAGUAAAUUGCUUAUAAUAAAAGAUGCUCACUGUUUACCCCCUUAUAGUUACGUUGUUUGCAGUUUCAUUGUUGUAAAAAUACCAUACUUUUUGAAGUGUACUAUGUGAAUGACAUAAAGGAAACAGGAUCAAAAAGAUCAUUCAUUAUAGAAUGUUUCAUAGGUCCUCCUGAUCAUUCUGUUCUCCUGGUUGUGAGGAUGUGCA